This 313-nucleotide ribosomal RNA is filed under the name uncultured bacterium. Its description in RNAcentral is "bacterial SSU rRNA". It matches the Rfam family "Bacterial small subunit ribosomal RNA", at positions 775 to 1079 of the family's 1533-position model. The record is from RNAcentral.
AGUCAAUAGAUACCCAGGUAGUCCACGCCCUAAACGAUGUCGACUGGUUGUUGGGGGUUUGACACUCUCAGUAAACGAAAGCUAAACGCGUGAAGUCGACCGCCUGGGGAGUACGGCCGCAAGGUUAAAACUCAAAGGAAUUGACGGGGACCCGCACAAGCGGUGGAUUAUGUGGAUUAAUUCGAUGCAACGCGAAAAACCCUUACCUACCCUUGACAUGUCCCGAAUCCCGGUGAGAGCCGGGGGUGCCCGAAAGGGAACGGGAACACAGGUGCUGCAUGGCUGUCGUCAGCUCGUGUCGUGAGAUGUUGGG